UUUUUUUUUUUCCUUUCUUUUUUAAGUUAGAAUGUCGGCAUUGGCAUAUUACCAAGAUGAUUAUUGAUACUAUUAUUACCACUUAUUGGAUAGUUAUGGAUUCAAUAGUCUAUCAAUGAUGAAUUAUGGUGUUGGCACAUAACCAAGAUGAAUUGUUAUGCUAUUAUUACCACUUAUUAGAAAGUUAACUUCUGGAUUCAAUAGCGACAUAAUCUUUUUAAAAUAACUCUGCAAAUUGGAAGAUUGUGGAUUGAGGCAAUUUAGUUGAGUAUUUUGAUCAAUUUAGUUGAGAUCAUUUGCAGGCUUUUUUUGAGUUGUGCAGAAUGUCUAUGUCUAUAUUAAUUGUAGGGUUAGGAGGACAGCUGAUCACAGUAUUGUUUGGGUUUUGACUUGUCCAAACAAGAGAGAAAAUGGUGCGCUUUUAAAAUUUCCAAGUAUAUUACAUACUUGGGGCUGUUCUUUUUCUUCUUUUCUUUUCUUUUUUUCAAGAUUUUCAUUUCAUCCUUCUUUAUAGGGUAAAUUUCCUUGUUAGUUCUGGAGAAAAAACCAAUUUUUUGCCUUAAGAGUAAAUUGAUUUGGCAAGAUCUCAUAAUUUUGGUGGUGACUGUCAGCAUAAAAAGUUUAGUGACUCAAGAAUUUAGUGUGAACUUGACAAAUCUUAUUUGUUACUUGCUAAAAUCUACUACAUUUGCACUACAAUUUGCUUUAUUUUUUCCUUGAAAAAGAAAAAUUAAAGUUGGUUUACUUGGUAUAAUAUUGAUGACAUAUUUUCUUUAAGUUAUAUGUUGUAUUUCCUUUCCAAGUAACAUAUUAAACUUACAAUCAGUCCCACGAGAAUUCUUAGACUAAAAUCAUAUCUCGUCUAAUCUAAACUUUUAUAUUUUCAUAUUUAUCAAUAAACAAAUCAUUGUGGAAGAUCAAUAAUUUUACUAAAAUAAAGGUGGAGAAUAAAAAGUUUCUUGCCCUAUUUUUUGUAAUUUAAAAUUUAGGACCAAACUAAAUCUUUAAAAUCUAGGGAAUAUUUCUAAAAUGGAACAAAAUUUUAGAAGUAAUUGUACGAAUAUAUGACAAUUAAACAAAUGUUUAGGCAAUUUCAUAUCAUAUUCAUGAGUGGUUGCUUUUAUUCAAAAUAACACAGUUUGAUAGAAAGUGACAUCAUCUUGAACUUUCAGUUUUUUCAUUCCAAAUAACCUUUUUGACAAAAAUAAUUUAUUUUGAUUUGAAGUGUUAACCUGCGCAUUGCACGAUUCAGAAUUCUAAUAUGUGUGGGCAUGUAUGAUGAUACACAUACGAAAUACGGUUUUUUAUUACCUUUUUCAACUUUUACCACUUUCUAUUACUGCUGUAUAAACAUUAAUUGCAUUAAUAUUAGGCAAAUUUACUGACAAAAUUUUCUUUAAUUUCAUAAGAUGCUACUAAAUUCUAUCACUACUAAUUAUUAAAUAUUCCUGUGGUGUUAAGGCAAGUGCGGUUAUGCUUUGAUCAAUUACCAUUACUAGAAUUUGAUGUACAGUUACCUUGUUCUGCAUUUUGUUCACCUUGGUAAUUGUAAAAAAAAAAAAUUAUCUUGGUGCUUUCUGCAUCCUUAAGUCAUCCAUUAUCUAACAAAUCUUUGUAUUUUUAAGACAUGAAUUACAUACCUAUUAUUAUCAGCCAAUACUAUUACCAAACUAAUUCAUUAUUACCUCCUUAUUCGUUAAGUACUUGGGACAAAAAAUAAGUACUUUAGUAUAUGGACAAAUCCAUCUACCUAUUUUUUUCUUUGGACGACAAUGAGUACUUGGGAGUUCUAGAAAUAUUAAAUAAUAUGCUAAACCGAGUUAUUCUCCCUCUAGAAAAAAAAAAAAAAAGCAAAUUAAUCAGUACAUUAAUUUAUUUUUAGUCCAUAUGAAUUGUUGAUUUUUGUUGGGAUAUUUUGGUCACUCUACAAAAGCAUAAGAGCUGCAGCUGACCAAAUAAGCGACGAAAUUAACCUUUAGGGAGCAAUAAUUAAAACACAUCUUUUAUCAGCUUUGCCCCCUGAAGGUUUAAUUGCACAAGUCCGUCUCAUAUACCAUUACACGUUCUUAAUUAGGUAUAAUUAAUCAGAUUGAUCCGGGUUGGAUCUCUUGUUCAUGUGAUUGCUGAAAUGGAUCUGACCGUCGAUCCGGUUCGGUGUUAAAAGUGGAUCAUAGAGCAGAUCUUUACUAGUACAGUCAAAAUACUUUUUGUGCCUUUUCAACUUCAAAUGAUGAUUAUUUUGGUAUCAAUUUAUGUGUUUUCAUACUAGUGAACUGAGGUAGCCAAGGCCCCAAAAAAUUUAGUUGAAUACAUAGUAACAAAUCUUUUUAGUACAUAAUGAACAGAAUUAUAUAUAGGAAAAAAUUGAUUAUCAAAACAAUUAAAAUUUUCUAGGAAGAGAAAUUCAAUCUAUGAAGUUAGUCCCCUAUUUAUUAUGAUUUGGACAAAGAUCUUUUAACCAAAAUUAUGUGUACAUAAUGAUAACAAAAAGGAAGAGAAAGCAAAUCCAUUAUGAGUGCAUUGUCGGCUUAAUAACAUUAUAUAGUUUUAGUUGUAAUUAGACAAAAAGCAGUCAUAAUGUUUCUAGGGCUUUAAUAAUUAGGAAAAGUUUAUAAGGCCACCAAGACCUAUCACAGCAUUUAACAUCAAUAAAAACAUAUAAACGUGCACAUUUUUCUUUCUUUUUGAGAGAAAAAACGAGUUAAUCCAUUCUUAUAAAUCCUAUCUAAUAGCAUUACAAAUAGGUAAGAACAUUGUCUCACCAAACAGCUCUAGAAUGCAAAUAGUAAUUUUAGAUAAAAAUAUGAACUGCCAUCUUUCCAAAUCUACAUAUACAAAUUCAAAACUAACAAUUUAUUUGAUUGCAAAAAUGUCUUCUUAAUUAAAAUUGAAUUUUCUAAUAAUAUUUUGUCAAGUGGCAGUCUAGGCUGAAAGUUUCGAUGCUAACUUCCACCACCAACCACAAUCCUUUGACAACCGCAAUCAUUUCAACUAGUUAAAUUGACAAGAUAUUACCAACUUUUUCAGUCAAAUAAUAAUGAUAUGUCCAGUCCACACUUGGUAAUCAUCUCAAACUCUUAUUACAUUAUCUAUCAUUAGAAACCACAAAAAAGAAUAAGAGUAUAAAAUCGUAUAGAACCAAUUUAAACAAAAGAUUUUGAAAUUUAAUUUUACACUUCUUUUAUUCUUGGGCCAUUAUUUCCUAAAAUUAAAAACUAUGAAAAUAAACUACCUAUCAUGGAUACAGGCAAGUAAUUGAACAUGAAGAGAUACGAAUAUUUUCUUCACAUCCUAAACUGCUAGGCCCAAUAAUUAUUCUACACAUCAUCCACCUUAUCUAGUAAAUAAGUACUUUGCACUAUGAAAAAACUUUAUAUAAAUUAAAAUGUCAAAAUAUUAUUAUCUAUCUACAAAUUAAGAGAUUGUGAUUAAUUUUUAAUUCGAUAGGCCUCACCAUUUCAUUUUAAUCAUCGUUUACCUUGAACCUUCACUUGUCAGAUUCUUCCUCCUCCAAUCUAAUACUAUCACCCUCUUAUCAAAUAAAAAUUUUAUAAAAAAUUAACAUUAAAACAAAUAUGUAUAAUAGCGUUUAUUAUUUUAUGGGGGGAAAGGUACUUACAAUUUUUUCUUUGUUAGCUUGAAAAUUCUUCAUGUAAUCACCACCCAUCCUUUUAUUAGCUUUAGGGAAUUUUUUUUUUCAAAAAAUAAAAAGGCCAAAAAGUAAUUUCAGAAUAAAUAAAUUUUUAAAAACUAAAAAAACAUGUUUCGUUAGACUAAGGGGGGAAAUUAUUCAUAGCAUCACAUACAAACUUCAACUUGCCUCCUUUAGGGGGAAAAAAGUUAGUUGAAAGAGGAAGCGGCGAGAAAAAGAAUAAGCAAAGGUUUAUGAUCAAGAGGCAAAAAAUGACAAAAAAAAAUUAAAUAGCACAUACCAGAGAAAAACACUAAGAGCAGAAGUUAUUGAUCAUAAUUAUUGGACUAUGCAAGAAAGGAAAUAUCAAACUCAUCCUUUAUCUCCUACAAUGAAAUCAUUCAUUUAGUUAAUUAUGGACAAAAUUGAAAGAAUAUUCAUCAACUAAUCCAAAUAGAGAAAAAGAGUGGAGUAAAAGAUUAGGAUGUAGAAAAAAAGAAAAGAGUAGAUGAGGGUUUGUUUAGUUGUCUUUAACCAGGAAGGAAAAAGGAAAUAAGAUGACCAAAGAAAAAAAAGAAAGAGAAAGAAAAGAAAAAAUGAAGAUAAUUUCCUCAAAAAACGAAGGUGCCACGUGUCGAGAUUAAACGACUUGACAAUCAUGGAAGUUGCGUCACUAACUCUACUUUCUCUUAUAUAAUAUAGAUAGAUAGAUACAUGAGACAAAUGUGGGAACUUAUAUUUUUAAAAAUUGACAAAGUAUCUCAACAUAUUAACUAACUUUUUCUAAAUUUAAUUGUUUUUAUUUUGCCGUCAAAUUUUAUCUCAAUCACAGAGGUAAUUUGUAAGCUAGCCAUUUUGAUAUAAUGGGGACAAAUGAUUGUGUUAUUGUCCCUCAAAGGUAAUUUGUAAGCAAGCCAUUUUGAUAUAAUGGGGACAAAUGAUUGUGUUAUUGUCCCUCAAGAUCGUAGCCAACCCCUGUCUAAUUGUCUUUAAUUAGUGUUUCACCUUCUUUUUUUGAUCGCGUUAAAUUAGUAUUUCAUCUUUCUUAUAAUUUUAACACAUACAACGAUCUUACUCGAGGUUACACCAAAUUAAAUCUCAAUCACAACUACGGACGUUCAAUGGGACAUAAUUAGGAGCUAAACGUGUCUCAACAAGUCAAAUAUUUUAGUAUUUAAGUUUGUUUGAUUAUUUUGACGAAUUUAAAAUUUUAUUUAAAUUUGACUUAUUUACUGCUUAAAUUUAUUGAACCAAAUUCAAGUUGAUUUCGAGUAGUUUGAAUCUUUUACAUGUAAAUUUCACUUGAAUGCUAAUGAAACAGGGCUCAAGUUGGGUUUAAAAGUUUAUCAAAUGCAAAUUACUAUUCAAAUCUGAUUUGAUUAAUUGACAAACUAAAUUCAAACCCAAUUCCAACCAAAUUGGGUUAUAGAUUCGAGAGUAGCUAGGUAAUUUGAUUCCUCUAGAUAUAAUCCCAUAGAAAAAGGGGAAAAAAUUGUAAAGUAAAUCACUCGAGAUGAUGCACAAAGUACACCAACCAUUACUAUAACGAACUUCUUUUCCCGCCUCUUCUCACUCUCUCUCUCUCUCACACACACACACACAACUCCAACUCUGCAUUCCACAUCUCCAAAAGAGGGAUAAAACCAAUACUUAUUCUGCCCCUAAAUCCCCCAGCAAUCAGCAAUCAAGAACUGGGUUUCAUGAAAAUCAUGAAGAUCUUGUUGGUUUUGCUGUCACUCGCAGCUGGGAUCACUACUCUUCUUGCGGAAGCUGACGGCCUGCGCCUUGAUUUCUACGAACAGAGUUGUCCAAAUGCAGAAAAAAUCGUCAUGUCCCAAGUCCAGAAUAUCCUCGCUCAGCCUCAGUUCCAGAACGCCCCAGCCCAGCUUCUUCGCCUGCUUUUCCACGAUUGUUUCAUUGAGGUUGUUCAUCUAAUUCAGAUGUUGAAAUGAGUGUUUUUCUUUUUGUGUUGUUUUUUCGUGUUCUUGAUGUGGUUUUGUCAUGGUUUAUGACUAUAUGAAGUUCUUGAUUUUCAGUUAGAGUGUUCUCUGUUGGUUAAGGAAGAUUUUAUGGGUUUAGAUUUCUGUUGAUUUUUCUGCAAUUUUAUGAAAUCAGAACUUGGUUUUCGGCUGAUUAAGUAUGUAAUAACUUCGGUUUUCAGCAUUAACGGCAUUGGAAAUUUUAUCUUUCUCUUUUAUUUUACUUGGUGAUUUUGCAUCGUGGGCAUACAUCAGAUUGGGGUUUUGGUGCCUCACAAUUUCGUGUGAUGAUUCUUGGGAGUUAGGACUGCCAGAAAGAGAGAAAAUUUUGUAAAAUGAUAGUACUAAAUGGAAUUUCUUUUAUCAAGAACCUAAUUGUAUUUUUUUAAUUGUAGUUACUUUGUCGUGAAAGACCUUUUUUUGGGUAGGACAAACAAGAUAUGAAUAGUUUGAUUUCUCUUACAGUAGUUAGGAUAUGGGACAGAGUGAAUAAUCCAUGCUUCAAAUUUGGUGUUAUAGAAGAUCUUAUCAUAGAGUCAGAUAGGAGUCUGCUUCUAAUUAAUGCCAAAGCUGAGCAAUUUCAUGAAUAGCACGAUGAGCCUGUUCAAUGACUUAAAAUUGUUAGUGAUGCAAAAUUGCAGGAGUAUGGACGUGAUCGUGUUUUUUUACGACAUUUGUUCCCACGACCUUGCCAAUAUUAGCAUCAUCAUGUAUUCAAGCAUAUGCAUUUGUUGUGCAAUCUUACUAUUUUUUGUCUAACAUCCCAAAAAAAAAGAGAGCAAAUAUUAAGGACAGUAAAAAGCAUAUGCAUUUGUUGUGCAAUCUUCCUAUUUUUUGUCUAACAUCCCAAAAAAAAAAAAAAAGAGCAAAUAUUAAGGACAGUAAAAAGCAAGUAAAUGAGUGGGGGAGCCAAAGUUGCAGAGUAACUCAUUCAACUAAUGCUUUUGGUUUAACUUUCAGAUAAGAAUUUCAAUAUUUAUUUACAUUGGAAAACUUAGUUCUGCAUCAUGCUACCGAGAAAAAUCAUUCCCCAAUGUGGUCAAGUAGUCUAAUCGGGGCUUAGCUUUUAUUAUCUGUAUGAUUCAGACCUCGCUUUGACGUUCUGUUAGUCUUUCUUGUGCAUCAACUUCUUGUUGUUUUCAUUCUUUUAGAGAAUUGAGGUGUUGGUCUGAUGUCAAUUGCUGAAGUUGAAUUGUUGUUUAUUAUCAUCUGUAUUCACACGUAUAUAUGUUGAAUAUGCCUCCAAGUGAAUGCCUUUCGGUGGUGGAGGUGGAAACAUUGGAAUCAGUGAACACUUAAUUAUCCUGAUACUCUAGGGAAAGAAUUUUGGCUUGAUAUCUUUGUUGAAUUCUGAUUCUGAUGUUCAGCACUCUCUGUAUUGUGGAGAAAUUGUUUUAUCCACUAAGACCACAUAUUACUGAUUAUGUUUUUUGUCCUUAAGUCAUUUGUGAUUGCUUGUUCAUUGCAAAUCAGUAAUGUUCAUUUUCUGUUGUUUCCAUAUUUUCAGGGAUGUGAUGCAUCUGUCCUGUUAACAGACACCAAUGGAACUUCAGUCGUUGAAAGACAAGCAAUACCAAACCGGACAUUGAAAGGCUUUGAGUUCAUUGAUAUGAUAAAGGAGGAGCUGGAGAAGGAAUGUCCUGGGGUGGUAUCAUGUUCAGACAUAAUGGUCUUGGCAACUAGAAAUUGUAUUCUUUUGGUAUAAGUUCUAUUUUUGAACUCUGACUACUUUGUUGUGUUUCCUUUUUACUUAAAACACUUACUGGGGACCUCUAGUGAUUAUUUUUCUGAUAUCCCUCAAACUUAACAAUAAUGAAUAGUUUAAACUAUAGGAGUUUGUGGGAGAUCUGUUUCCCUUUCUUGUAGCAUGUUGAUGAUCUACCUCUCGGUGAUUUAUGUAUUGUUUGAAGAAGUGUGACUAUCUAAAGAACUGUUUAAUUUUGGUUUCCUCUGAAAAAACAUAAGCCUGAUCUGGUUUAAAGAGAGGUAUUAAAGAAGAUCUUAUGAUGACCAUAUGUCAUUCUGGUGACACUUAGUGCUGUUCUUGAUACAUUGAACGUUCUCCACCCCUUGAACCACUUCAAACAGGGAAAAGUCUGUUAAACAUUGCAAAACCAAACUCUUCUAAACGUUUCAUAGAUCCAUUGUUCUUGCCAUAGAUUCAUUAUUGGUCCAUCUAAAGACCUACAGCUGCCCUAAUCCAUAUAUAAGCCUGUUUUCUGUCAUAAAUUUAAGCCUAUCCAUGAUUUCAAAUAUCAGUUUGGAGUCUGAUUUAUUUUGCUUUCUGUAAGCUAGAAGGUUCUUGAUGUGCUUCAUCUACUGUGGUCAAUUUAUUGGCACACUCACUCUGCACUUCUUUUCAGUUUUCUCCUUAAUGUUUUUUGGGUUUCUGAAGUCCAUUUUCUUUUUCGUAGUCUGGUGGGCCAUAUUAUCCAGUAUACACUGGCAGAAGAGACAAUAAUCAGUCCUUCUUCAGUGAAGCCUUAUCUGACAUCCCAAGACCGAACGGAAAAAUCUUUGAAGCACUCCACUUGUUCUCCCUCAGAGGCUUCAACACAAGGGAAACUGUUGCGCUACUUGGUAUCCACUAAUUUGUUCUGUUUUUACUCUUCUAAGAUUUCUUUUUAUUAUAAGAAUAGAGUCGUGUUAAUUGACAAAUGUUUGUUUUUGAUCUUUUGCACAUGCAGGGGCGCAUAAUAUUGGUAGAAUCAGUUGUCAAUUCAUUCUACCAAGGCUUGGCACCAACUUCUUGGAUGAAGGGUCAGCUGAUUCAACUCUUCGUGAUGGCUUCAUCGAGGAAAUAAAACUGAAGUGCCAAAAGAGUAAUAGCAGUUUCAGCAAUACUGAAUCUUUGGUGAGUUCACUGGGUGUGACUGAGGCUAACUGGUCAAUGUCUUACUUUGAAGAAGAAUUCUCAUCUUCAUCAUCUCAAUCUGCCUUUGGCACUCAUUACUAUCAGAAAUUGAUGAUAGGAAGAGGUCUUCUCUUUGCUGAUCAGCAGUUGAUGGCCAAUGAGGAGACAGCACGAAUAGUAGAGGAAUAUACUUUAGAUGAUGGAACAGUAUUUCGAAGAGAUUUUGCUCGUGCCAUGGUCAAAAUGUCCAACCUUGUCUCACUAACUGGUUCACAGGGACAGGUUCGGCUCAAUUGCUCCGUUGCACUAAAGUCAUCUUGAUUCAACCUUUCAGAAUAAUCCCUCUCACUCCAACAGUUUGGACAAACUGUACAUCCUUUUAUCUUUUACAGCACAUGUUUCCAAUCUGAAGCUUCAGCUUCAUGACGACUGAGGAGUGCACUUGUACCUUUUGUUUUACGUAAAAAAGAAGUCUGCUGUUGCAUGAGGCAUCUUGAUACUUCAUUUUUAGAGGCACAUUUACACAAUUAAAGAAAGUGCUGAUGAAGAUAUUCAACUUUUGGCUUUUGUUCUUGAAACAUUUGCUUUAAGAUCUCUGGCCAUAACCAUGUAGGCUAUGAUCUUCCUGAUUUGCCGUACAUUCUUUGAUGCAGUUCUAUGUAGAAGUACAGUGUGCACUGUAUGAUCUCUCAGGAUUCUGGUCUUAUACGUGUACACAAUGCUUGCUCAUACCUGCUAUCGAGGCACAGAAAUGGUUUAAUAGCGUACAUGGUUUUAUUGUACACAUGCUUAAUGCAAACAGAGAUAUCUAACACACUUUCUCCAUCUCUUUAAUCUCCUUUCUGGGAUGAUGCGUCCAGAGAGAUGGAUUAAACAUGGCGGUAUAUAGAUUAAGAAAAUCAUUGGUGUGAAACUUGUAUGGAUCUUUGUGAGGAAGAAGUUUGGUUAAAUAGAUUUUGAGUAGCUAUGAAAGAUAACUCAGUGUUACCUGUAAUCUUCGUCUUCUUGUGUGAGGACCCGAAUUUUACUUACUUUUAUUUUAUUUUAUUUUAUUGGCUUAUUUAAUUAUUUAAUUAUUCAUUUUCUCCAAUUAAUUUAUUUCAUCCAUUUUAAUUUCAUUUGCAUGGAACAAUGUCUCAUUUUAUAUUUUAAAAUGUUUUGCUAGUAAAUUUAAUUUUUCUGCAGCUCGUUUAGUAAGGAAUAAUGAAUACACGUUUUUUGAGAUAAAAUUCGAUCCAAGAAUGCAAUGAUCUUGGGGAAUUAAGGAUGAUCAAUAGUAGAUUAAGAAAAGUUAAUUGAGAAAUUAGAGGUGAGUGAGUUAAAUUAAGCUCAAUUAGGAGCACUAAUGGUCUCCUAUUUAUAUGUUGAUUUUUUGUACCAAAAGCACCUUUAUGUCAUAUCUUUCUUUUACUUCAUCACUUCACCAACUACCACACAAAACCUCUCUUUCUCUUCUCUUCUUGGCCGGCUCUUCCUCCACUUUUCUCAACCAAAAUUUCAGCUAGCUUUCUUCUACUUUUGCUCCGAGAACACACUCCAAACUUGCUCCUUUUCUUGGUUCAUUACACAAGUUUGAAGGAUGACUUGAAGGAGGAAAGAACUUUGGUGGUUUAGAGCUUAUACACUAGUGGUUGGAUUUCAUUUUUUGGAAGCAAGGUAAUACUCCAAAGCUCAUCUUUUCCUCUCAACUUAUAGUAGUUAGUUAGUUCUAACUAGUUAGACAUUGGGUUGUUGAUGGGUCCAAUGGACCUUGACUCUAGGUAGAGGACUUGAGGUGGCUUUUAGGUAGAGGUCUUGAGAUUAUUGUAUGUUUACUUGGUUGUUUGGUGCUUGUUUUGAUGAGUUAUGGCUUAGUUGUGAGUGGGAAGUUGAAAAGAAAACUUGAUGAAAGAAGGAGGCUUGCUGGCCAAAAAUUUACUGGUUGAUUCCCUCAUGUUAAAUUCAAAUUUUAUUGUUAACUUGGUUCUAUAAUGCUUGUUAUAUAUUGAUGUUUAUGUGUGUUAAAUAUCUCCUUAAAAGCAUUUCAAUUGGUUGAGUGAAAAUUGGGUUAAAGUGAGGAAGAAAUCUGGAAAAUUUUCUGAUCAGGAGACCAAACCAGUGCAUACAUUUCAGCCCAUAACUUUUUGUCCAAGAGUCAAAAUCGCAUGCCGUUUGUGGCAUAUGAAACUAGACUCCGAGGGCUUUCCAACGGUAUAAAAUCAACCACUAAUUCGUUUUCUAUGAACCGUAGUGAUCCGGCAAAGAUGACUGAUUUUCCUCACUGUUUUCAUCCGAGAAACAAGCAUAGCUGCAGUUUGUAGCUCAUUUUUACUAUCUUGAAAAAUGAAUUUUAAGACAGUUCCUUCUAGUGAAUUUUAGCAUUUUGAAUCUAGUUUUCAAUUCCAUAAACCACACUAAAUUUUGAGCUGUGUAGCUCAAGAUAUGACCAGAUUUUGAAACUGUGUUAAGUGCUUCAAAACUGGAAAUUUCGUGAAACAGAUUCCAAAAAUCAGCUUUCUUUAAACUAUUGUAUCGUGGAAUAGAAAGGUCCAAAUUGAGUUCCGUUUGUUACAUUUUAAACUAGAUUUGGAGUUCUAUUAGUGGUAUAAAUUUCAAGGGCUGAUUCUAUUUCUAUGAAUUUUGCCGAAUUUUCAAAAUUUACUGAAAUUGCAAGCCUGUUUUGCUCUGUUCUGUCUGGAACAGUGAUUUUGAACUACGAUCUAAAUGAUUUUGGAUUGGAGUCUGGGAAAAGUGUCUUCUAGAGUUUCAGUGCAUUGGGUCUAGUUUCCAACAGUAUAAAGUUUCCAAAUUUUGGACUCACGUAACUCGAAAUAUGAUUUUUCCAAGUGGUGUCGCACCAAGCUUAAAUUUUCUGGUUUCAAACAAAGUACUCUUUUAAGAACUUUCAAUCUUCCUUUGAGAUUGUUAGGCCGUUUUAAGUUUGAUUUCAUGGUUUGAUACAAGGUCUCUUUGAACAUUAGGCCUUCAUUUUGAAUCUUGGUUUCCAAAGGAUUAAACUUUCCUUAAUGUGUUUUCUUGGUUGCUUAACUUUCUUGGAUGAUUGCACCUCACCUUAUACUUGAAAAAUGGAUUUCAAACCCUAAUCUUAUGCCCUUGAUUUUCAUGAGAUUGAACUCCAAAAAUGGAGCGUUUUAACUAGAGUAAUUCUUGGAGAAUUUCACUAGUUUUAAACUCAAAACUUGGAAUCGUUAGCUUUAACAUUUACUAUGGAAAUGAGUGGAAUUUUGAUGAAUUCUAACUCCAUUAGUUUAGAAAAUGUGAACGUUCCUUAUAUUCUUAAGACUUGGAUGUAAGACUAGAAGUUGUGAGAGAUGAAAACCAUUCUUACUUUUCUCGAUUUUUGUGCCGAAAGUAUAUAUGAUAUUUUCUUUUGAAAUUGAGAUUACUUGUCACGACUUGAAUCGAAAACACCCUUUGAAUUCUCUUUGAGCAUUAUUUCAAUGAUUUAGCGAGAAAAGCUCCUUUAACUUGACUUGACUUAUGACCUUGAGAGUGGGUAGCAAAAAAAUAUUUUUCUUUAUAACCUUAGUCGAGUACCUAGGUAAUCGUGAUUGUGUAUGUCUCAAGUGGUCACGAGGACGCCAAAGAGCUCAUCUGACUUCUCGCUUUACUCUUGUUUUGCCUUAACUUUUGGUGAGUGUCAAGUGCAUGUUCAAUGUUAAUGUGAUUGAAAUGAUAUUUGUACAAGUACUAUAUGAUACGUGAACUUGCCGAGACGAGAGUGUACUUUACCGCCCUCGUCAUUUCUCUCUCUCUUGAUUGAAUGAUACUUGUUAAAUGAAUGUAUAUCACGUGCACUUGUACUUGAACAUGUUUUAAUUCGUGAGCACUAAGCGGCAGCAUGUACCAUACCCUAUUCGGGUGGGAGGUGCCUCUCAUUCCGACUCAGUACUAUGAUCGAUUCUCUGAGCGGUAGCAUGCACCACACCCUAUUCGGGUGGGAGGUGCCUCUCAUCCCGACUCAGAGCCAUGAACAAUUCUAAGUCAAUUGGAGCGUUGUCUCAUCGACCAAUUAUAUUUGCGAGGACGUCCCAACCCAUUGGCUAACCUUGUAACUCGAGCCGGCAAGGGCUUGGUCGAGAAGCUUGGUGAACCUUGGGAAAUUUUAUAGUUUGAUCUUUUGAAAUCUUGCUUGGCAUACUCAAUUAGUAUUGCCACCUGAUGCGUGUUCGGUUCCAAAUCCAAGAGGGUGUUAUGUUGGAUGGAGGAAGUAAGUGAAGCACUAUAGUCAUGUUGUUACUUGAGUUGACGGAGAGUCAACCCCAGAUAGCUUGAAACGGUCGAGACGUGAAAAUAGGUCCUGAGAGCUCCUGUAUCCUUCCUUGUGUGUUUAUUUCCUACUUGUGCAUUUAAAUGAAAGUUCAUGUUAAAGAUGCUUUCAAACAUGCUAUUCGAUUAAUUGGUUCCACGUGCUUGCUUGUUUUCUUGGCCUCACUGAACAUUAGUUCAUCCCUUUAAGUUUGUUCUUCCUUAACAGGCUUUGGAGGUGGAAAUUGGAGAUCUUAGACUAGUGACUUUUGGUUGAAACUAGUAUACUUAUGUAUGUUAUUGGAGACCAUUAAAGUGUAAAUUUUGUUAUUUUGGUUGGCAGAUUGUAAUUAUAAUUGCUAGCCUAGAAGUUGUGGCUUGUAUAUUCGAAGUAUUUCUUAUUUAAGUCGAUGGUUGAUUUGUGACUCUAUAUUAAGCUUGAACGAAUACAUGAGUCCUAACGAAAGUUGGGCAAGCAUCCCGUUGAUACCCUAGGGUUCGCUCUAAGGAGAGGUGGGGGCGUCACAUCUUGAGUCAGCAGCAUGAAGCCUACACUUCUGUUUUCCAAGAUCGAACUAUUAUUCUGACUGAGAGUGGUUAAGUCGAAUAGAGAAAUUAGGAAUGGGCCAGGUGGAUUAGUUGCAAAAGUAAAUGGAAGUUCUUAGCAUUGGUCAGAUGCUUUAUAUGAACUUCCUCCAUUUUGAAUGUGUUUGCAAAUACAACUUUGUCCAGACUUUGAAGUUUCUUCCUAAAUCAAGGACCUAAAAGAAUGAAGUACAAGAAGUACUCGAUUCACUUUGUCUGAUAAGAAUCCAAGAUCUUGAAGAAAAUCCUCAAGCCUGCACAUAUAUCACAGCUCUUGAAUUUGAGAAAAAAAAAAAAAAAAAAAGUCCAGGCACCUUCAAGUUUUAAAGCUUAAAAUCACAGAUUUAGUCUAUACUCGGCAGGUAUACUUUUUUCACAACCUCUAAGAUCAGAUCAGCAAAGUCGCUUCAACUGAGACGUGAACUUCAACACUUUCUCUCUUUAUGUAAGCCAAUUCCUGGCUCUUUCUUAAAUUGAUUCUAUCGUCUUUGUUAAAGAAUUGAGCUUUUCCUUGCUUUUAUUCAUCUUAGUUUGGAUCUCGUCUUUGUACUUAUACAUCGAGCUAGAUUUUAUUCUGUCAUUACCCAAGUGUGUAUGAAUAUAGAGCAUUAGACUAUCUUAUACAUUUAUGGCAUAUAAGAGCAUAUUAUCUACUCAUGCCUUAACAUAUCUUUAAUAACACGUGUAAACAUUCUGCUAGUACAUUCAGAUGCUUCUUGCCAAAAUGAACAUAUGUGUUGAAUAGCAUGAUUUGUGGAACUGCUAACAGAUUGUAGUAGUUAGUUAUUCACUUUGCUAUUUUUUAGGCAAUAGAUAAGUCAAAGUACUUGAUAUGAUUCUGAUUCUAGGAUCUUAUCUCUAGCAAAUCUUUUUCCAGAGUUUUCUCUAAUUCUAUUUUCUUUAUGCUAUAUAAAAGCAUGGCUUAUAAGUCAAUAAAAUGUGACUUCUACAAUACAAAAGUUUUCACUCUUAUUCUACUUUCUCUACUCUAAUAAACCAACAAAGUGGUAUCAGAGCUUUCAUCUUGAGGGAUCUGUGAGGAUUGAGAGGGCUUAAACACCUUCUUUAAACACUUAUUACAAUGAAUCCAGAAGUUUCCUCUAUUCAUCAACUUGGACCUCCCAUAUUUGAUGGAACAAAUUAUCAAAUGUGGGCUGUCAAAAUGGAAGCCUAUCUUGCUGGAAAUGAUUUGUGAGAGGCUAUAGAAGAUGAUUAUGAAGUACUUCCUCUUCCAAACAAUCCAAUAGUUGCUCAAAUGAGACACCAUAAUGAGAGGAGACAAAGGAAAUCGAAAGCCAGAACAAGUCUAUAUGCAGCUGUCACAUCCACAAUCUUUACCAGAAUCAUGACGUUGAAAAUGGCGCAUGAGAUUUGGAAUUUCUUGAAGAAUGAAUAUGAAGGAGAUGAAAAAAUCAAAGGGAUGCGAGUGUUAAACUUGUUUCGAGAAUUUGAGAUGCAGAAGAUGAAAGAAUCAGAAACUAUCAAGGACUAUUCUGACAGACUCCUUGAUAAAGUCAAUAAAGUAAGACUCCUUGGCACUGAUUUUUCUGAUUCAAGAAUAGUUCAAAAAAUUCUAGUUACAUUCCUUGAAAAGUUUGAAGCUACAAUCGCGGCCUUAGAAAACUCAAAAAAUCUGCCAAGUAUCACCUUGGCAGAAUUGUUAAAUGCACUGCAGGCAUAAGAACAAAGACGACUGAUGAGGCAAGAAGGAUCGAUGGAAGGUGCCAUUCAAGCCAUAUCACAAAACAACAACAGAGGCAAGAACAAGAACAGCCAAAAGGUGCCUGGAAACAACAAAUCUCAAGAAUUUCCACUUUGCCUUUAUUGCAAAAAAAAAAAAAAAAACCAAUCAUCCACAGAAAAGGUGUUGGUAGAACCUAGAUGUAAGAUGUCACAAAUGUGGUCAGGUAGCGCAUGUGGAAAAGAUAUGCAAGUCUCAACAGCAACAAGGAGAAGCCAAAGCUACGGAGAAUCAACCUCAGGAGGAGCAAUUGUUUGCAGCUUCAUGUUGCGCUACUAAUAGCUCCAUGGAAAGCUGGCUUAUAGAUAGUGGUUCUUCAAACCACGACUUUUGAUCGAGAGCUUUUCAAAAAGCUUGAUAAAACUGCUAUUACUAGAGUCCGGAUUGGAAAUGGAGCUUAUCUUGCAGUAAAAGGCAUAGGAACAAUGGCAAUUGAAGGGUACAUAGGUUUGAAAUUAAUUUCUGAUGUUUUAUAUGUUCCAGAAAUUGAUCAAAACCUUUUGAAUAUUCCUCAGUUAUUGGAAAAAAUUAUAAGGUGCUAUUUGAAGAUAAAAGUUGCAUUGUUAAAGAUCCAGAAGGUAGAGAAAUGUUCAGAAUUCAAAUGAAAGGCUAAAGUUUCGUUUUGGAUCUUAUGAAAGAGAAGCAAGCAGUUGUACACAAAGAAGUUAGCGAUGUAGAUGUAGUGCUUUGGCAUAAGAGGUUGGGCCAUUUUCAUCAUGCUGCUCUGCUGUUCAUGAAGAAAAACAAUUUAGUAAAAGGUAUGCUUGAGUUAGAUGAAGAGCUUCCUACAUGUGCUGUUUGUCAAUAUGGGAAGCAAUCAAGGGUUCCUUUUCCCUAAAAUAUAACUUGAAGAGCUACACAUAAGCUGCAAUUGAUACAUACAGAUGUAGGAGGACCUCAAAAAAUACCAUCAUUGAAUGGUAGUAAGUUUUAUAUUCUCUUCAUUGAUGAUUAUACUAGAAUGUAUUCGAUUUAUUUCAUGAAAUUCAAAUAUGAGAUUGCUGACAUCUUUUGGAAGUUUAAAGCGUGGGUUGAAAAUCAAAGCAGUUGCAGCAUGCAGGUGAUCAGGUCCGAUAAUGGAACUGAAUAUACCUUAGAAAAAUUUAACAAAUUUUGUGAAGAUGCAGGCAUAGAGCACCAACUGACAGCCCCUUACACUCCCCAGCAAAAUGGAGUGGUGAAGCGUAAAAAUAGGAUGCUUAUGAAGAUGACAAGAUGCUUGUUGCAUGAUAAAGGGCUGCCAAAGAAAUUGUGGGUGGAGGCUAUGAAUACGGCAAUUUUUUUACUAAAUAGAUUACCAAUGAAAGCUCUGUAGAAAAAGACGCCAUUUGAAGCAUGGUAUGGCUACAAGCCAAAAUUGCUUUAUCUAAAGACUUUUGGUUGUUUGUGUUUCUCUUAUAUUCGUCAGGUUAAAAGAGACAAGUUAGACAAGAAAGUAGAGUUGGGGAUUUUUGUAGGCUAUUGCUCAUCUUCAAAGGCCUAUAGAAUCUACUCACCACUAAGUAACAAAAUAAUUGUGAGCAGGGAUGUUAAAUUCCUUAAGCCAGACAGUUGGAGUUGGGAAAAUAAAGAUAAAUUUGAAUUGCAGGUAGGGAAUGAUAAUGUUGAUGAAGAACCUGUUAAAGGAACCAGAUUACUCUCUGACAUUUAUCAGAGAUGUAAUGUUGCUGUUAUGGAGCCUGCAGGAUAUAAAGAAACAGCAACUGAUCAGAAAUGGAUAGUUGUAAUGAAGGAGGAGCUUAAAAUGACAAACAAAAACCAAACUUGGGAGUUGGUGGAUAGACCUACACACAAAAAGGUGAUAGGUGUCAAGUGGGUUUGUAGAACCAAAUUCAACUCUGAUGGUUUUGUAAACAAGCACAAGGCAAGAAUCAUCGUUAAGGGACAUGCUCAGAUGUUUUGAUCAGAUUUCUCUGAAACGUUUGCUCCGGCUGCCAGAUUGGAUACCAUACGAAUGUUGUUGGCUCUUGCUGCAUAAAAAAGCUAGCUUAUACAUUAAUUAGAUAUUAAGGCUUUUCUAAAUGGAUACCUAGAGGAAGAAAUAUUUUGUGGAGCAACCUAAAGGAUUUGCUAUUCAAGGAAAAGAAAAUAAGGUGUAUCGCUUAAAAAAGGCACUGAAUGGUUUAAAACAGGCACCGAGGUCUUGGCACAACAGAAUUGAUGCACAUUUGAUGAACUUAGGCUUUGAAAAAAGUCUGAGUGAAUUUACCUUAUAUAUCAAAAAGGUUGAUGGUGAAAUACUUGUGAUAUCUUUAUAUGUUGAUGACCUUCUUGUUAUAGGAAGCAGCAAGGAGUUGAUUGACAAGUUCAAAAAGGAGAUGGAAGACGUCUUUGAAAUGAUUGAUAUUGGUAUGAUGUCAUUCUUUCUUGGUAUGAAGAUACAAUAGAAGCAAAAUGAAGUGUUCAUAUGCCAGCAAAAGUAUGCAAAGGAGGUCCUGAAAAAAUUUAACAUGGAAGGAUGCAAAUCAAUUGCUACUCCAAUGAAUCAAACAGAGAAGUUUUGCAAAGAAGAUGGAGCUGAAAAAGUUGAUGAAGGGCUGUAUAGAAACUUAAUAGGCUAUUUAAUGUAUUUGACUGCAACCAGCCCAUAUAUCAUGCAAGUAAUGAGUCUGCUAUCAAGAUACAUGCACUGUGCUUGUGAAAUUCAUUUUCAAGCAGCCAAAAAGAUUUUGAGAUACGUUAAAGGUACUGUUGAUUAUGGAAUAAGGUUUAGUCAAGUUAGAAAUUUCAAUUUUCAUGAUUUUUCUGAUAGUGAUUGGGUUGGAUGUGCAGAUGAUAUGAGGAGCACCUCAGGUUACUAUUUUACUUUUGGGUUUGGAAUCUUUUCAUGGUGUUCAAAGAAGCGGGAUGUCAUAGCUCAAUCCACUACAGAAGCGGGAUGUCAUAGCUCAAAGAAUAUGUAACUACCGCUGCUACUGUGAAUCAAGCACUUUGGAUAAGAAAACUCAUGACUGAUCUACACAUAAAAUAGGAAGAAUGCACUCAGAUAUUUGUUGACAACGAGGCUGUAAUUUCUAUUUCUAAUAAUCCAGUUGUUCCAUGGCAAAACGAAACAUUUCAACAUAAAGUUUUAUUUUUUAAGAGAAAUGCAAAAGAAGGGAGAAGUGCAGUUGAUUUUCUGCAAAACAGAAGAUCAAAGUGCUGAUAUGUUUACAAAGGCUCUUCCCAAGGAAAGAUUUGAGUUCUUGAGCCAAAAGCUUGGAGUACACAGUUCCAAAACCAAGGAGGAGUGUUGAAUAGCAUGAUUUGUGGAACUGCUAACAGAUUGUAGUAGUUAGUUAUUCACUUUGCUAUUUUUUAGGCAAUAGAUAAGUCAAAGUACUUGAUAUGAUUCUGAUUUUAGGAUCUUAUCUCUAGUAGAUCUUUUUCCAAAGUUUUCUCUAAUUCUGUUAUCUUUAUGCUAUAUAAAAGCAUGGCUUAUAACUCAAUAAAAUGUGACUUUUGCAAUACAAAAGUUUUCAUUCUUGUUCUACUUUCUCUACUCUAAUAAACCAACAAUAUGAAACCAGACUAAUUUGCAUCAGCAUAUUCAGUUUUGUAAUUUUGUAUUGGACAUUUAGAAUGCACAAGAACCUCUCCUAUAAUAUGAAUAUCUAUUCCAAACACUGAUGUUUCAAAAAAUCGUCCAAUGCUAAUACCCAAUUUGAAAACAUUUUGAGAUUCACUACAAAAUUUCCACACUCCAAGAAUUUCACUCCAGGCUGAUGCUCAGUACAAUACUUGUAGACACCAAAAUUUUAACAUUUUAUUUCUAUUUUUGUGCACUUGAGUUAAAUUUUAUUAUUUAUUUUAUUUGUUUCAUUUCUAUUUUUUGGAAAAAUCAUUUUUAGAAAAUCAAAAAGAAAGAAAGGAAAAUGCAGAAAAAAAUUCAAUGAAAAUGCAGUUUUUCAAAAAAAAAAAAAAAAAGAGAUCUUUUUCGUACAUGGCCAUUGACGAGGCCAUGUACCAGAUUGCAGCUACCAUUUUGGGUCCAAUUUCCACUUGAAUCCGGCUCCAUUUUCUUCCUUUUCAAGUCUUCUAGUACAAGUGCCAGAUCAACUACCAAUUCUUAUCCAAAACCCAUCAUCUAAUGGUCCAUAAUCAAUCUCUAAAAUCUAACCCAUCCCCAUCGUGGCUCCAAGGGUUUUUGGGGGUUUUGUGCCAUAUAAAUGGAUGAAAACGCAUCCAAGUACAGAGGGGAGGAGAAAAGGGGGCGGCGGAGAGAUCAAAGGGAGAGAAAAACAGCAAAAAACGGGGAGAAAAGGAGAGAGAAAGGAAAAGAAAAAAUGCAGAACAUGAGCCAGGGUUGAUCGUUUGGCUCACUUGGUGAUCAAAAUAUGAUCUCAGUUUUGCCCCUUUGGGUGUUUUCUUUAUAUCUGUACCAUCUACGUUCAUCAGUGAACAAUUCUUAUUCAGAUAAUCUUUGGAAAAGACGCUUACAAGUCUCUUGAAUCUGGGCCAAAACUCAUCGCGCCAUCAAUCAUGAAGUGGGUUUCCAGAAGUUGUCAACUUCAUUUUCCAGCUCCUGAAUUCGUCUUCCUUCCAAGUUUACUGCAUAUUUUCAUCAAAGGUAACCCCUUUUGCUCAUUACCUAGCCGUAUAAGCUUAAAUCUUUUCAAAUCCAUCAAAAAUCUGGUUGCAUCUGUGCUUGUUUUGUUUUCUUUUGAUGUUCAUUUUUUAGUUUAGAUUUUGGGGUAUGAUCUUGUGUUAGAUCUUGGAAGAUUGAGUUUUGGUGAUAGAUCUGUACAAUUUUCUUGUUUUGGUCGGAAGUUUUGAUGUUUCGUUUGGACUUUUGCCUGGAUUUGAUAACCGAGAAAAGUGCAGAAGAAAGCCUUCUUCGUAACUUUGCAUGCAAAAUUUCAACAAUUGCACUUUAACCCCCCAACUCCGAGAUAAUCCCACUACAGCUCAAAAACUCCUGCAAAUCAAUCAAUUUUGCCCCUUUUUACUUUAAUUUUUUUUCAUAUUUUAAGUGAUUUAUUGGAUAGAUUAAUUCUGGGUUGUAGGACGUAAUUAGACCUUAAUUGUUUUUAGAUGAUUUAUUAUCUUAUUGGGUUUUUGGUAAAAUAAGUGUAGUUUUGGGUUGUUGUUUGUUUGUUUGGGUUUUGAUAGAAAAGUUGGGUUUAUUUUCUGGGUUUUGACUUGGGCUUAGGAGGUUAAAGUCCAACACUUUUGGUUGGGUUUUAGGAUUGGAUUUUGAUUAAUUCGGUUGCGUUUUAAUUGGUAAAAAGUUGGGUUGACUCGCUUCAUUUUCUUGGACUUCCGAUCGGGCCAAGUGGUCUUGGCCCAAGGAGAAGUCAGAAAAUGGCCUAGUACCCUGAUUCAUCAAGAAACUAGAAAUUUGAAAUUCUGGGACCAUUCUGUAAAAAUAUUUGCAAAUACUUGGGUACUACCGUACUAGGCCAAGUACUUUGAUUUUUUUCAAUUAGGUCUCUAAUUUAAUUGUAAAUAGGUUCUUUAACUUUAUUUUUCUUCAAUUUUGACCCCUAAUCUUUAUGAUAAUUACAAAUUGAUCCCUAAAGCUUUCUUAAUUUUGUCAAUUAGGUCUCUACUUGUUUUAAUUUUCGUGAAUAAAGGUUGUUUUCUUUCAUUUAAAUGGUUUAAUUAAUCAAUUUCAUUUCUUUACAUGUUAAUACUUUUAUUUAUUAAUUAAAUUGGUGCCUUGAUGAUUUUUGUUAAUUUUGGAGUUAAAUAGGGCAAUCCAAUCCCCCAUUAGCUACUACUUCAAAGGGAGGUAUCCUCUUAUGUUAUCUUUAAAUCCUUUUAUGUGCUCCUAUGUGAUUUUAUGUGUGUAAUUACCUGUUUUCUUUUGAAUUUUUUUAUUUUAUUUAUUUAUUUAUUUAUUCACUUUCUUUGUUUUUAAUUUUGUAUAAUUUAAUGUUUGAUUAUUUGAGAGGCAUUUAGAUACCAAAUUGUAAUAGUUAGGGUAUUCAAGACAUGUAUUUAGAUAGAAUAUGUAAUAGUUAGGUAGUUAUUUUAUUAUUUUAUUCUUUCCCCCUUAGAUUGUAGUUAGGUCCCCAAAUGUAAUAGUUAGGUCUCUAUUUGCUCUUAUUUGUUUUGUGUGUUCUUGCAUGUUUGUGUGCUUAUGUAUUACUCGCUUUCCUUAGGCCCUUUGCAUCUAGAUAUCAUACUUAUGUGUUAUGUAUUUUAUGUGAUUUAUGUGUUUACUUACUUUUAUUAUAUUUUAUAUGAUUUGUUUAGUUAUAAUACAUGUAUGACGUCACCACACUAGUCCAACACUAGUUGCGGCCCUUUUUCCCGUUUUCUCGCUAGUCCAAUGCUAGUGAGAAUUUAGAGACAUGGGCUAGUCCAACGCUAAACCCUUAGGGACCGUCCACGCGCUAGAUCAUGUUUGUAUGAUAAAUCACCACAUUUCAUGCAUAUUUUCCACUUUUUAGGAUCCUUACCAUUUUUGCUUGAUAUUCCCUCUAUACGUAUAUCCCUUAUCCCUAUGUGUGAAACAUAACAUUUAGAUUUGCAUUCUAUUUAAGAGAAUUAAAGCUAGAUUAGAUCAUUUGCUUGAUUAGAUAGGGAAAAUUGCCCCACAAAUAUGGGAUAUGGACGAGUAUGGCUCUCUAGCCUUAGCACGCUCAUAUUCCCUCUAUUAAAGGGAAAAUUAAAGUCAUGAAUAUUAGUUCCCCGCACCCAAUAUGAUGCAUUCCCUUAGGUCAUGUAUAUUUGUAUAUUAUUAUUUUUCUUCGAGUCUCACUUUUGCAAAUUUUGUGACCUCUUCAAAGAGUCACUUUUGGACAUCGCAAUUAAUGCGAUUUGCAUCAAUCAAGUUUUGAAGAGACAUAUUGACCCUUCCGAUAUACAUUAGGUCUAAGUUCGCAUGCAUAUAAUAACAUUCGAGUGUGAUAAGUUUUAAGGUUAAAUUAAGAAAAUUUUUUGACUAAAUCACGUAACUAGCCUUGGCUAGAUUGAAAAGGUGCCUUGGAUUUUAUCCUUACUUUCCCUUUCUUCAACUGUGACUCCCGAACCUUUGUCUCUUGAUUUUCGAAGGCUUGGAGUCGUUUAAAAAGGGUUUUUUCUAUUUUUUUAUUUAUUUAACUCAUUUUAGGUGACUUGGUACACCUUAACUCAAUACCAAGUGACGAAUCCUAUUUUUGGUUAAAAACCCUUUUUAAACUAUUAUUUUGGGUCAAAAUCGUCGCACUUUUAAGUCACAUUUUAGGCCCUUUUUCUUUAUUUAUUCUCUACAAAUCAAAAAUUCAUUUUAUAAACCCGUAAGUUUAUUUUUUAAAAAAAAAAAAUGGGGCACGACAAUACUUACCAGCUACAAGAGCAUAUAUUACUUUUCUUUUUUGGUAUGAGUUUAUCUGCUGAUUAACCUGCUUGCUUCACUGAAACAACUGUUUAGGCUCCAUUAGUGAGAAACUGCAACUUGUGAUUGUGUCAAUGUAACUGCAAUUCUGCUACCAAUGUCUCAAUCUAUUCAAUGACACAUCGCCUAAACCUCAACAAGGACAGGAAUUCAUAUAUAUAUAUAUAUAUAUAUAUAUAUAUAGAGGGAGAAAGAUUCUCCUGGUAUAUACCAAGGGUUUCCACACAACUUAUCCCGUACAUAAUCACUUGAGUUGCAUGUAUUUGAUUCUCCAGCCUGCCCCAUUUUCUCGGUUGCGAAGCUUGUGUUAGAAUUAGUCUUUUCAAAUGCCAUGAGUUUCUGUCACGUCAUCAACAGCAAAGCAUUGUAGUUGCAUUUAGGGACAAAUCUUCUAAACUCUGAUUAAGUUAGGCUUGUGAAGUUACUAGUCUGGCAAACCACUAUGACUCAAGUACUUCUUGAAACCAUAGGAAAAACAUGUAAAUUGGAAAUAUGUGGAACACUUUCUUCACUGUUGCAAAGAUUUAACAUAUAUGUGCAUAUGACAACAUAAAUUUAUCAGACAAGACCAGUACAGGGAAGGGGUUGUCCACAAUCUAAAACCAUCAUAUGAACCUGUCGAUGCAGUAUUACUGUGUUUCCUCCACCCCUGUUUAGCUCAUUCACUGAUCACCUGUUCCACCGGGGGAAACCGAACUCUCCAUGUAAAUAAGGCUUGUAGCCUAAGUGGAAGCCCAUAAACAUUGUACUUCUAAUUUCACCUCCUUCCUCAUUGUCCAGGAGUGCACAUGAGCCUGAUUGCCCACUGAUAAUUUCAAGAAGUAGUUUGUACAUUGAAGACAGGGUAUGCACAUUGAAAAGGCCCUAUGGUAUAUCUUCUAGUCCAAGACUCUUCCACACCACAAUCUAUCAUCAUCCAUGCAUCAAUGAAUUGCUCUACAUAUUCUCUUACAUAUCCAUCACCAACGCAGUAAUAUUCUUCCAUUUCAGAUGCUUCUGGCCAUGGGAAUCUUAUCAAGGUAAGUGUACUGUUCAAGACGAUGGGGUCCUUGGGCGAUUUUCAGCAGAAGGACAAUUUAUUUCACUCAAUACCUUAGUGCUGAUGUCAAAAGAAAGGUUCAGGUAAGAUUGUUCAUCCAUGGCAAACUAGUGGAUGGAUGUGUUAUUACAUAAGACGGGGUCAGAUAGGAAAUGCAUGAUUGUGGGCCUGAUGAAGGUUUCAAUAUCUAUCCAACAAUUUGUGUUGAGAUUGUAAAUUUCGAAUAUGUUCUUGUAAAAAUCAAGCCCAUCUUUCGGGAUACACAUAAGUUUGAAAUUCUUAUAUUUGUCAGUAGUUUGGUCAAACCCAUCCCAUACCAUUUUUCUCAUAAGAGAGCCCAUUCAGGUUACCAAAAGGCCUAAGAGGUAGUUUUCUGAAUUCACGGGUUGCAAGAUAACACAAAUAAAUAUCGUCACCCUCCAAAUUGGAGACACAAAUGAUCCCAUUACAAUUUAGGAGGGCUAGUUAAAUUAACAUUUUCAUAAUUCAACUCAGCUGGAACCUCUGAAUCAGGGCCCUAAACCUGGAGAUUUUCUGAUCGAUCAUCACCUGAACAGAAUGAUAAGAUCACUUCGAUCUUGUUCUGGAUGAAAUGCUUGACCACGAUAAUAUAAUUGUCCUCUUUGUUCUUGGCGCGGCUGAGAUGCAUUUCAAUGAAAUGGGGUUCUGAUACAAUUACUGAAAAAUAAUAAGAGAAGCAAGGACUAGACUUUAUUUCUUUGUAAAUCUGAUACACAACUCAUAACGUGAAACUGCUCUAUUUAUAGAGUUCAAAACAACUCCACUAAUUUCACUAGUCACUCCACUAACUCCACUAACUAGGUAGGACAAAACAAACAAACAUGAUUAACUAAAAAUAAGUGAAUAUUUCUAAUAAUCCCUCCCUUAAAUUGAAAGUUUUCCAAACAUUUAGUUAAAUAGAACUUAUCAACUGCACAGAUUCCAAACAACUUCCUUAGUUUCUGAAACGUGGAUAACUUCAAUGGUUUGAUAAUUAUAUCAACAACCUGAUCUUCACUUUUGCAGUGGAGAAAAUCAAUUAUUCCAUCUCUUAUGAGCUCCCUUAGAAAAUAAAAUCUCACAUCUAUGUGCUUGGUUCUUCCACGUAGAACUGGAUUUUUAGAGAAUUUGAUGAUAGAACUAUUGUCACAGUAAAUUGUAGUAGUUCCUUCUUGCUGAAAAUGCAACUCUUUAAGAAUAUUUCUUUCCUCUCCCUUCUCCCCCUUCCCCUCCUUCCCCCCAAUCCCAAACCCCUCUCCCACUCGUGUGUGGUGGCCGCAACUUUAGCCACCACUCUAACCAUGACUGUUUUGGUUAGGGAUGGCAACGGGGGCGGGGGGGAAUUUUUUCCCCCCGUUUAAAAACGGGGUCACCCGUUUGAAAUAUAUAUAUAUAUGUACAUAAUUAUAUAUAAUGAUAUUAUCAAUUAUACUACUAAUUAUACAUGUCUAUUAAUAAAAAUUAUUAAUUAUUUAUACUAAAUUUAUUAAUACAUUUAUGUUAAAUUCCUAACUACACUUAAUACAAUAACAUUUUUUUCUAAAAAAAGACACAAUAAUAAUUUAGUGAUUGUAUUUGUAUCGAAAGUGAAAACUUGAUUGUUUUAGUUAUAUUUGUUUUAUCAUAUUAAAUUGUAUUCAAAUAACUUUUGUUUAAUUAUUUUUAUGAGUUUUAAUUGUGAAAUUACAAUGAAUAAUAAUUUGGUGAUGUGUUGUGUGACAGCCCCACCUUCCCCUAAGGCGAACCAAAGGGGUUAGCGGACUGCCUGCCUAUCUCUCGCCAGGACUAACGGUGCAGUUUAAGAGCGAUCUAUUGCGUUCCGGAACUUAUAACGCGCGUAAACAAGACAAAAGGGCAAAAUAACCCAAAAUAAAAGAAAUGAAAUCCGGAGUCGGCCAUGAAUAGUAACCGACCCGUCCGAACCCAACCAAACCUCGAAAUACAUCUACAACAUAACAUUAAGCAUUUACAAGCCAAAAUGGCAUUUAAAAGUGAUACAAAAGUCACUACAUAUGUGGUUUGCCAAAACAGAAGUGAAAACGGCCCUAAUGAUACAUUUAGGGUCCCAUUUUAUAUACAAUACAAAAGAGACAUUCAUCUAGUUCAUUCGGCAAUCAUUUAUCAAAAUUCAUUCCAAAAGAGUCAUAUUCCUGUAAGAAAAACAAAAGGAACGGGGUGAGCUAAAUGCCCAGUGAGAGUACAACUCAAGCAACCAAGUUCAUAGAUGCAUCAAGCUUAACAGUCCAAUUUACCAAAUAUAAGUAAAGCCACACAUCAAUAAUGAGGAUAAAAGGAUACGGGUGGCUCUCAAGAGCCCUUUUCCUCGUUUGAAUUCUUGAUCGGGUUUCAUUGACUCUCCGUCAAUGUUUGAAAAGUAACCAACCGUAGACCCACUUAACUUCCAUUCCUUCCACCUAACAUUCCUCAACCGGGCCCGAAAUCCAAACGCUUGCUUUGUGGUAUUAGUCGAGUAAACCGGAAUCAAGAGUCUCUCAUACUACAAGAUUCCAUAUAACGUUGCCCCAAGGUGCAUUAAUUGGCACGACCAAGCCCUCGCCGGCUCGAUUCAAUCAAUUACCAAUGGGGAUUGAGCUCAUGGAUAAUAUUUGAAGUCGUGGAGACUCGUCCAAACGACAUCAAGUCAUGUAUUUCAUUUCAUGUAACAUUUCAUAUAACAUUCCAAUAACUUUCCAAUAACAUGAGAAACAACAAGUGAGAGUGAUAAAGUACACUUUCACUUCAAGUAAUUAACAUUCAAAGCACCAAGUUCAAGUAGCAAAGCCAUAUAAUAGCACACAAGUGAGUAGUACACUCACCAAGCUAGCACAAUGUGGUUUCAAGCACUUUAGUCAAAAGAACGUUGUGCACCACCGUCACGCCCUAAAACAUGCAAACAAAUACAAUGAGACUCGAUAACGAGUCAUAAACCAAGGCCAAACAUGACCCCAAUAGGAUUCCAUAAGCAUAUAUAAACAUUAAAGGAAACCAGAAAUUUUGGAAAUGUAACUAGCUUUGGCCCUGAAAAAAAAACAGUUUUGACGUCAUUUUGCGGUAAGGGCACCAAUUUCACUACGCUUAUCGGAUGAGGGUGCAAGACCCACCGUUUCGAAGCUAAGAGACAGGGCUACAACAUCACAGAAGGUCACUCAACCCAGUUUUGAGUGUAAACAGGUAAAAAAUACAAGAUACUACAUUAAAAUCGUAAAACAGAUUCACCAAAACGUAUUCUAGCGGAAACAUCAUAACUCAGGUUCUACAUGUCCAAAUCCAGAAAUUCCAAAACCAGAUGAAAGCUAACAAACAGGGUUAAAUUUCAUCAGAAGGCCUCAACACCCAAUUCGGAAGUAAUCUCAACCAAAAUAACCAAUUACAGUCGCAAAUCCCAAGUUCGGGUAAAACAGAACAGCAAUAGUAUUUUCAACUUUUCUCACUCUACACAACUCCGAUUGACCUGAAAUUUUGUAGAAACCUCUAAAAUAUCAUUCUCUACAACUUUCAUGUUUUGAGCUAAGGCCAAUUCGGCCUCUAUCUAGUACCUAAAAAUUCGGACAGAAUGCCCCCUUAAGAACCCUAGAUUUUCCAAUUUUCUUCCAAAAUAGAAAUUAGUUGCAAUUAAUCACUUUUCCCACCUCCUAUAGUCAUUAUAAACCAUAUCCAAUCAUCAUAGAUAGCCACACCAUCAUGCUUCUAUUAAAACAGAAAUUUCCCCAAAAUUAAUAAAAAGUCAUCAUUUCAACCACAAAUCAAGAAUUAAUCCAUAAACUUGCAUCUUCUACUUCCACUAAGCAUGAUUUGAGCAUCAAUUAAAGGAGGAGGGUGGUUCUUCACAACUUACCUUUACAACAAGAGAGAGAGAACUAUGGACCACCUUAACUUUCCAAAUAACUUCACCAAUCACCUCAAAAUCACUAAGUGGAGGAGUUUUAUGGAACAAUUGGAAGAUUAAUCGGUUGAUUUGAGAGAUUGAGCAAGAUUGGAGACCAAAAUUGUAAAGAGUUUCUUUCCUUUGAGCUUC
This 27395-nucleotide long non-coding RNA is filed under the name Coffea arabica (coffee). RNAcentral describes it as "long non-coding RNA (CARA_LNC003468)". The record is from RNAcentral. Lineage: Eukaryota; Viridiplantae; Streptophyta; Magnoliopsida; Gentianales; Rubiaceae.